This 69-nucleotide transfer RNA is filed under the name Acheta domesticus (house cricket). Its description in RNAcentral is "tRNA-Val". Lineage: Eukaryota; Metazoa; Arthropoda; Insecta; Orthoptera; Gryllidae. The record is from RNAcentral.
CAAAGUAGAGCUUGUUAGUGAGCGUUCCAUUUACAUUGGAGGGGUUUUUGUGCAAAUCAAAUAUUUUGA